This 1455-nucleotide ribosomal RNA is filed under the name Vibrio parahaemolyticus. RNAcentral describes it as "bacterial SSU rRNA". It matches the Rfam family "Bacterial small subunit ribosomal RNA". The record is from RNAcentral. Lineage: Bacteria; Pseudomonadati; Pseudomonadota; Gammaproteobacteria; Vibrionales; Vibrionaceae.
AGAGUUUGAUCCUGGCUCGAUUGAACGCUGGCGGCAGGCCUAACACAUGCAAGUCGAGCGGAAACGAGUUAUCUGAACCUUCGGGGAACGAUAGAGCGGCGGACGGGUGAGUAAUGCCUAGGAAAUUGCCCUGAUGUGGGGGAUAACCAUUGGAAACGAUGGCUAAUACCGCAUGAUGCCUACGGGCCAAAGAGGGGGACCUUCGGGCCUCUCGCGUCAGGAUAUGCCUGAUUAGCUAGUUGGUGAGGUAAGGGCUCACCAAGGCGACGAUCCCUAGCUGGUUGAGAGGAUGAUCAGCCACACUGGAACUGAGACACGGUCCAGACUCCUACGGGAGGCAGCAGUGGGGACAAUGGGCGCAAGCCUGAUGCAGCCAUGCCGCGUGUAUGAAGAAGGCCUUCGGGUUGUAAAGUACUUUCAGUCGUGAGGAAGGUAGUGUAGUUAAUAGCUGCAUUAUUUGACGUUAGCGACAGAAGAAGCACCGGCUAACUCCGUGCCAGCAGCCGCGGUAAUACGGAGGGUGCGAGCGUUAAUCGGAAUUACUGGGCGUAAAGCGCAUGCAGGUGGUUUGUUAAGUCAGAUAGCCCGGGGCUCAACCUCGGAAUAGCAUUUGAAACUGGCAGACUAGAGUACUGUAGAGGGGGGUAGAAUUUCAGGUGUAGCGGUGAAAUGCGUAGAGAUCUGAAGGAAUACCGGGCGGCCCCCUGGACAGAUACUGACACUCAGAUGCGAAAGCGUGGGGAGCAAACAGGAUUAGAUACCCUGGUAGUCCACGCCGUAAACGAUGUCUACUUGGAGGUUGUGGCCUUGAGCCGUGGCUUUCGGAGCUAACGCGUUAAGUAGACCGCCUGGGGAGUACGGUCGCAAGAUUAAAACUCAAAUGAAUUGACGGGGGCCCGCACAAGCGGUGGAGCAUGUGGUUUAAUUCGAUGCAACGCGAAGAACCUUACCUACUCUUGACAUCCAGAGAACUUAGAUGGAUUGGUGCCUUCGGGAACUCUGAGACAGGUGCUGCAUGGCUGUCGUCAGCUCGUGUUGUGAAAUGUUGGGUUAAGUCCCGCAACGAGCGCAACCCUUAUCCUUGUUUGCCAGCGAGUAAUGUCGGGAACUCCAGGGAGACUGCCGGUGAUAAACCGGAGGAAGGUGGGGACGACGUCAAGUCAUCAUGGCCCUUACGAGUAGGGCUACACACGUGCUACAAACAGAGGGCGGCCAACUUGCGAAAGUAUCCCAAAAAGUGCGUCGUAGUCCGGAUUGGAGUCUGCAACUCGACUCCAUGAAGUCGGAAUCGCUAGUAAUCGUGGAUCAGAAUGCCACGGUGAAUACGUUCCCGGGCCUUGUACACACCGCCCGUCACACCAUGGGAGUGGGCUGCAAAAGAAGUAGGUAGUUUAACCUUCGGGGGGACGCUUACCACUUUGUGGUUCAUGACUGGGGUGAAGUCGUAACAGCCGU